GAAAGUAAUUAAGGGCGCAUGGCGGAUGCCUUGGCUCUCAGAGGCGAUGAAGGACGUGAUAAGCUGCGAUAAGCUUCGGGUAGGUGCAAAUAACCUUUUAUCCGGAGAUUUCCGAAUGGGGCAACCCAGCAUACUGAAGGUAUGUUAUCCUUUUAUAGGAAGCAAACGGGGUGAACUGAAACAUCUUAGUAACCCUAGGAGAAGAAAACAAUAGUGAUUCCCUAAGUAGUGGCGAGCGAACAGGGACUAGCCCAAACCAGUUUUGUUACGGCAAAAUUGGGGUUGUAGGACUACGUUGUGAUAGUUUAAAAUAUAGCAGAAGGUGUCUGGAAAGCACCACCAUAGAAGGUGAAAGUCCUGUAAGCGAAAUAUUGAUGACAUCUAGUAGUAUCCUGAGUAGUGCGAGACCGGAGAAAUCUUGUAUGAAUCUAGCGGCACCAUCCGCUAAGGCUAAAUACUCCUGAGAGACCGAUAGUGAACAAGUACCGUGAGGGAAAGGUGAAAAGUACCCUGAACAAGGGAGUGAAAUAGAUCCUGAAACCAUGCGCUUACAAACGGUUGGAGUCCCAAUUUAUUGGGGUGACAGCGUGCCUUUUGCAUAAUGAGCCUACGAGUUACUCCUCACUGGCAAGAUUAAUUCUGAUUGAACGGAAGUAGUCGUAGCGAAAGCGAGUCUGAAUAGGGCGAACAUAGUCAGUGGGGGUAGACGCGAAACUUGGUGAUCUACCCAUGGUCAGGUUGAAGUUCCGGUAACACGGAAUGGAGGACCGAACCAGUUGAUGUUGAAAAAUCUUUGGAUGAACUGUGGGUAGGGGUGAAAGGCUAAUCAAACCAAGAGAUAGCUCGUACUCCCCGAAAUGUAUUUAGGUACAGCCUCGUGUAUAAGUGUUAUAGAGGUAGAGCUACUGAUUGGGCUAGGGGGCUUCACCGCCUACCAAACCCUGACAAACUCCGAAUGCUAUAACAUGUUUCACGGGAGUGAGGCGUUGGGUGCUAAGGUCCAGCGCCGAGAGGGAAAGAACCCGGACCAUCAGCUAAGGUCCCCAAAUGUAUGUUAAGUUGUACUAACGAGGUCUGAUUGCUUUGACAGCUAGGAUGUUGGCUUGGAAGCAGCCAUUCAUUUAAAGAGUGCGUAACAGCUCACUAGUCGAGCGAUCGGGCAUGGAUGAUAAUCGGGCAUAAACAUACUACCGAAGCUAUGGAUCUUGUAAUUUAUUAUGAGAUGGUAGGGGAGCAUUCCAGUUGUGUUGAAGCAGUAGCGGCAAGCUAUUGUGGAGUGACUGGAAAAGCAAAUGUAGGCAUAAGUAACGAUAAUGCAGGCGAGAAACCUGCACACCGAAAGACUAAGGUUUCCUGAUCAACGCUAAUCGGAUCAGGGUUAGUCGGGACCUAAGGCGAAGCCGAAAGGCGUAGUCGAUGGACAAUCGGUUAAUAUUCCGAUACUUGUUAUAAUUGUGAUGGGGUGACGAAGCAGUGACAAUCCCGCGUACUGACGGAAUAGUACGUUGAAGGCUGUAGGUAUAAGGAGCGAUUGGAAAAUCCGCGCACCUUGCUAAAGGCUGAUAGUACCGAGAGUCUACGGAUAAUCGGAUAGUGGAUGUAAUCAUACUUCCAAGAAAAACCUCUAAACUUCAGAUUAUAACAACCCGUACCAUAAACCGACACAGGUGGUCGAGGAGAGAAUCCUAAGGUGCUCGAGUGAUUCAUGGCUAAGGAACUAGGCAAACUAACCCCGUAACUUCGGGAGAAGGGGUGCCCCUGAGCAAUCGGGGGCCGCAGAGAAAUGGCCCAGGCGACUGUUUAUCAAAAACACAUGGCUUUGCAAAAUCGAAAGAUGAAGUAUAAGGCCUGACACCUGCCCGGUGCUGGAAGGUUAAGAGGAGAUGUUAGCUUCGGCGAAGCAUUGAAUUGAAGCCCCAGUAAACGGCGGCCGUAACUAUAACGGUCCUAAGGUAGCGAAAUUCCUUGUCGGGUAAGUUCC
This 1981-nucleotide ribosomal RNA is filed under the name marine metagenome. RNAcentral's name for it is "bacterial LSU rRNA". It matches the Rfam family "Bacterial large subunit ribosomal RNA", at positions 1 to 1984 of the family's 2925-position model. The record is from RNAcentral.